CUACGGGCCGCAGCAGUGGGGAAUAUUGCACAAUGGGCGCAAGCCUGAUGCAGCCAUGCCGCGUGUAUGAAGAAGGCCUUCGGGUUGUAAAGUACUUUCAGCGGGGAGGAAGGGAGUAAAGUUAAUACCUUUGCUCAUUGACGUUACCCGCAGAAGAAGCACCGGCUAACUCCGUGCCAGCAGCCGCGGUAAUACGGAGGGUGCAAGCGUUAAUCGGAAUUACUGGGCGUAAAGCGCACGCAGGCGGUUUGUUAAGUCAGAUGUGAAAUCCCCGGGCUCAACCUGGGAACUGCAUCUGAUACUGGCAAGCUUGAGUCUCAUAGAGGGGGGUAGAAUUCCAGGUGUAGCGGUGAAAUGCGUAGAGAUCUGGAGGAAUACCGGUGGCGAAGGCGGCCCCCUGGACGAAGACUGACGCUCAGGUGCGAAAGCGAGGGGAGCAAACAGGAUUAGAUACCCCAGUAGUC
This 464-nucleotide ribosomal RNA is filed under the name uncultured bacterium. RNAcentral's name for it is "partial 16S ribosomal RNA". It matches the Rfam family "Bacterial small subunit ribosomal RNA", at positions 339 to 795 of the family's 1533-position model. The record is from RNAcentral.